CCUGGCAGGGUGGUGCACACCUGUAGUUCCAGUUACUUGGGAGGUUGAGGUGGGAGGGUCACUUGGGCCCAGGAAUUCUGGGCUUUAGUGUACUAUGCUGAUCCAGUGCCUGCACUAAGUUCUGUAUCAAUAUGGUAACCUCAGGGGAUGGGUGACCAGCAAGUUGCCUAAGGAGGGGCAAACUGGCCCAGGUUGGUAAAGAAACAGGCCAAAACUCCCAAGCUCAUCAAUAUUGAGCUGUGAAUAGCCACUGCACACCAGCUGAGCAAUAUCACUGUCUCU
This 282-nucleotide signal recognition particle RNA is filed under the name Cebus imitator (Panamanian white-faced capuchin). RNAcentral describes it as "Metazoan signal recognition particle RNA (ENSCCAG00000001920.1)". It matches the Rfam family "Metazoan signal recognition particle RNA". From Rfam's summary of the family: The signal recognition particle (SRP) is a universally conserved ribonucleoprotein. The record is from RNAcentral. Lineage: Eukaryota; Metazoa; Chordata; Mammalia; Primates; Cebidae.